UACGAAGGGGGCUAGCGUUGUUCGGAGUUACUGGGCGUAAAGGGCGCGUAGGCGGUCCUUCAAGUCAGGCGUGAAAGCCCCGGGCUCAACCUGGGAACCGCGCUUGAGACUGGCGGGCUAGAGUUCGGGAGAGGAUGGUGGAAUUCCCAGUGUAGAGGUGAAAUUCGUAGAUAUUGGGAAGAACACCGAUGGCGAAGGGCCAG
RNAcentral lists this ribosomal RNA (203 nucleotides) under uncultured bacterium. RNAcentral describes it as "partial 16S ribosomal RNA". It matches the Rfam family "Bacterial small subunit ribosomal RNA", at positions 524 to 725 of the family's 1533-position model. The record is from RNAcentral.